GUCUACGCCUUUAUAAACCAGCUGUUGAAACCGUAGCGCACAUUUCUCUGGUUACUGUUAUAUAAAGUAAGGUUGUGGUCUACGCCUUUAUAAAACAGCUGUUGAAACCGUAGCGCACAUUUCUCUGGUUACUGUUAUAUAAAGUAAGGGUGUGGUCUACGCCUUUAUAAAACAGCUGUUGAAACUGUAGCGCACAUUUCUCUGGUUACUGUUAUAUAAAGUAAGGGUGUGGUCUACGCCUUUAUAAAACAGCUGUUGAAACCGUAGCGCACAUUUCUCUGGUUACUGUUAUAUAAAGUAAGGGUGUGGUCUACGCCUUUAUAAAACAGCUGUUGAAACUGUAGCGCACAUUUCUCUGGUUACUGUUAUAUAAAGUGAAAGUAAGGGUGUGGUCUACGCCUUUAUAAACCAGCUGUUGAAACCGUAGCGCACAUUUCUCUGGUUACUGUUAUAUAAAGUAAGGGUGUGGUCUACGCCUUUAUAAAACAGCUGUUGAAACUGUAGCGCACAUUUCUCUGGUUACUGUUAUAUAAAGUGAAAGUAAGGGUGUGGUCUACGCCUAUAUAAACCAGCUGUUGAAACCGUAGCGCUCAUUUCUCCGCAACAUUAGAAGUAGGAUAAAUGUGUUGAUUUGAAGGACAGACGGGCAGACUCUGGUAAGUCUUGGCUACAUAUAACUAUUAUAAAGUUAGGUCGUAGUCAGACAUUCAACAGACAGAGUAACCCUGAGAUAUGAUUCUUUAUCAUGC
This is a long non-coding RNA of Oncorhynchus tshawytscha (Chinook salmon), 749 nucleotides long. The record is from Ensembl. NCBI's taxonomy places the organism in Eukaryota, Metazoa, Chordata, Actinopteri, Salmoniformes, Salmonidae.